GGUUUGUAGCUCAAUGGUAGAGUGCUUGCCUCACAAGCGUGAGGCACUGGGUUCAAUCUUCAGCACCA
Molecule: transfer RNA, 68 nt
Filed under: Marmota monax (woodchuck)
Lineage: Eukaryota; Metazoa; Chordata; Mammalia; Rodentia; Sciuridae
Description: tRNA.Val
Rfam family: tRNA (bases 5-65)
About the family: Transfer RNA (tRNA) molecules are approximately 80 nucleotides in length.
Source: RNAcentral